AAUAUUGGACAAUGGGGGCAACACUGAUCUAGCCAUGCCGCGUGUGUGAAGAAGGUCUUAGGUAANUCAAGAACUUUAAGUUGGGANAAAGGGCUUUAGGCUAAUACCCUGAAGUUUUGACGUGACGAACAGAAGAAGCACCGGCUAACUCUGUGACAGCAGUCGCGGUAAGACAGAGGGUGCAAGCGUUAAUCGGAAUUACGGGGCGUAAAGCGAGCGUAGUUAGUUCAAUAAGAUGGCUGUUACAUCCCCGGGCUUAACCUUUGAUCUGCUUUCCUAACUGCUGAGCUAGAGUACGGUAGAGGGUAGUGGAAUUUCCUGUGUAGCGGUGAAAUGCGUAGAUAUCGGAAGGAACACCAGUGGCGAAGACGACUACCUGGACUGAUACUGACACUGAGGUGCGAAAGCGUGGUGAGCAAAC
Molecule: ribosomal RNA, 421 nt
Filed under: uncultured bacterium
Lineage: Bacteria
Description: partial 16S ribosomal RNA
Rfam family: Bacterial small subunit ribosomal RNA
Source: RNAcentral